UACGUAGGUGACAAGCGUUGUCCGGAUUUACUGGGCGUAAAGAGCGCGCAGGCGGUCGAUCAAGUCGAGUGUGAAAGCCCCCGGCUCAACUGGGGAGGGUCAUUCGAUACUGAUCGACUCGAAGGCAGGAGAGGGUAGUGGAAUUCCCGGUGUAGUGGUGAAAUGACGCAGAUAUCAGGAGGAACACCGGUGGCGAAGGCGGGUCUCUGGGCCGAUACUGACGCUGAGGAGCGAAAGCGUGGGGAGCGAACAGG
Molecule: ribosomal RNA, 254 nt
Filed under: uncultured bacterium
Lineage: Bacteria
Description: partial 16S ribosomal RNA
Rfam family: Bacterial small subunit ribosomal RNA
Source: RNAcentral